AAAUGGCUAAUGUUAAAUGAGACAUUGUUGAUUUAAACCGCGCCGCACGAACCUUUCAACUUCGGUCCAGUAUGUAACCUUAGCUCAGCGGCAGCUCAGAGAGAUGCGCUCAAAUUCAGUUAAUUCUCUGUUUAGAAAAGUCUACAAAUAAUCACAUUUCCCAAAAGCAAGACGUGAUGGGAGAAACGAAGCUUUUCAAAGUUUCGAAUCAAUUAAACGAAUCGCUUAAUUCGCAAAAUGAUUCACUGCUUCCAAUCGUUCGUGACACAACGGCGACGCCUGCUGGUCAAAACAAGGCAAGCGUCAGUUGUUUGGAAAGCGAGCACUAAUUGGAAUAACACUAAAUGUGUUUUUAUGGUUUAUUUAUAUUGAAUAUUGUUAUGCAUAUAUUAGAUUCGCCUCUAAUUACAGCCAUUUCUAUUAUAAAGCUAUGACAGAUUUGCAUGUUUUUUUAAAUGUGUACUAAAUGUGUUUAUACUUAUUUUUAGACAUUGGGUUCUUCAGUGAAGGAAAAAUUACAACAGUGGAAUCUCAUACAUUAAACAUCCACAUGCCAAUUAACUGAAAUAUUUCAAGAGGAAGGAGUCAAUGAAGGAAGUUUUAUGCGACCGGAUGACACCAGCAUUGCUGCACUAACUCCAAGAGAAGAAGUUUUUAGCAUUUUCAACGGUGAAACAGUGGAACAGAAGACCUUACUACAAGCAGUGGAUCUGUGUUUCAGACAUUUCUACAUUUAUGACAUCUACUACCCAAAGCUCCUCUGCACCCAUUUGCAGCACACAGUCUUUAAUAUUCCAGGAGUUCUUUCAACACAUUACCUCUUCCUUAGAAACUUUGUAUUUAUUGAUCCGUAAAAACUUUUUAUGUUGCUGAUUAUCAGCAAGUCCAGCAGCCAGCAGAUUUACUUUGUUUUAUUAUUAUUAUUAUUAUUAUUAUUAUUACUUGUGUUUAUGAUUUUUUAUUUUUGUUUUAUUGAUAAAAGUUUGUAUGUUAUGUUUGUUUUAUUUGUGCACAUUUGUGUAUGUGUUGAUAUAAAUAAAUAUGAAUUGAUACACAUUUAUGACCCUGGACAACAAAACCGGUCAUAAGUAUCAUGGGUACAUUUGUAGAAAUAGCCAAAAUUGCAUUGUAUGGGUCAAAAUUAUCAAAUUUUCUUUCAUGCCAAAAAUCAUUAGAAUAUUAAGUAAAGAUCAUGUUCCAUGGAGAUAUUUUGUAAAUCUCCUACCAUAAGUAUAUUGAAACUGAAUUUAUUAUUAGUAAUAUGUGUUGCUAAUAACUUCACUUGGACAACUUUAAAGGCAAUUUUCUCAAUAUUUAGAUUUUUUU
This is a long non-coding RNA of Labeo rohita (rohu), 1326 nucleotides long. RefSeq lists it as uncharacterized. The record is from RefSeq and is a predicted model, not a curated record. The transcript has 2 exons. NCBI's taxonomy places the organism in Eukaryota, Metazoa, Chordata, Actinopteri, Cypriniformes, Cyprinidae.